Molecule: ribosomal RNA, 465 nt
Filed under: uncultured bacterium
Lineage: Bacteria
Description: partial 16S ribosomal RNA
Rfam family: Bacterial small subunit ribosomal RNA
Source: RNAcentral
CCUACGGGAGGCAGCAGUAGGGAAUAUUGCUCAAUGGGGGAAACCCUGAAGCAGCAACGCCGCGUGGAGGAUGAAGGUUUUCGGAUCGUAAACCUCUGUCAGCAGGGAAGAACGGUCACUGUGCUAAUCAGCAGUGAAUUGACGGUACCUGCAAAGGAAGCACCGGCUAACUCCGUGCCAGCAGCAGCGGUAAUACGGAGGGUGCGAGCGUUAAUCGGAAUUACUGGGCGUAAAGCGCUCGUAGGCGGUAUGUCAAGUCAAGGGUGAAAUCCCCGCGCUCAACGUGGGAACUGCCUUUGAAACUGGCAAACUGGAGUGUGUGAGAGGAUAGUGGAAUUCCAGGUGUAGGAGUGAAAUCCGUAGAUAUCUGGAGGAACAUCAGUGGCGAAGGCGACUAUCUGGCACAUAACUGACGCUGAGGAGCGAAAGCGUGGGUAGCAAACAGGAUUAGAUACCCUAGUAGUC